CUUGGUCAUUUAGAGGAAGUAAAAGUCGUAACAAGGUUUCCGUAGGUGAACCUGCGGAAGGAUCAUUAGUGAACGCCCUCACGGGCUUAUAACUAUUCCAAACCUCUGUGAACCGUGCCCUUCGGGGCUAUUUUACAAACAUGGUGUAAUGAACGUCAUAUAUCAUAACAAAACAAGACUUUCAACAACGGAUCUCUUGGCUCUCGCAUCGAUGAAGAACGCAGCGAAAUGCGAUAAGUAAUGUGAAUUGCAGAAUUCAGUGAAUCAUCGAAUCUUUGAACGCACCUUGCGCCCUCUGGUAUUCCGGAGGGCAUGCCUGUUUGAGUGUCAUGUAGACUCAAUCCCUCGGGUUUCCGAGGAGAUUGGACUUGCGUGUUGCCGCUCUGCCGGCUCGCCUUGAAAGACUUAGCGGGAUAGCACCGUAGUCGGCGUAAUAAGUUUCGUCGGUGAAGGUUGUGAUGACUGCUUACAAUCGCCCUCGGGCAAUUUUUGACUCUGACCUCAAAUCAGGUAGGACUACCCGCUGAACUUAAGCAUAUCAAUAAGCGGAGGAAAGUUGG
Molecule: ribosomal RNA, 560 nt
Filed under: uncultured fungus
Lineage: Eukaryota; Fungi
Description: eukaryotic LSU rRNA
Rfam family: 5.8S ribosomal RNA (bases 177-330)
Source: RNAcentral